This 253-nucleotide ribosomal RNA is filed under the name uncultured bacterium. RNAcentral describes it as "partial 16S ribosomal RNA". It matches the Rfam family "Bacterial small subunit ribosomal RNA", at positions 524 to 776 of the family's 1533-position model. The record is from RNAcentral.
UACAGAGGUCUCAAGCGUUGUUCGGAUUCAUUGGGCGUAAAGGGUGCGUAGGCGGCGCGGUAAGUCGGGUGUGAAAUCUCGGAGCUUAACUCCGAAACUGCAUUCGAUACUGCCGUGCUUGAGGACUGGAGAGGAGACUGGAAUUUACGGUGUAGCGGUGAAAUUCGUAGAUAUUCGGAAGAACACCAGUGGCGAAGGCGGCUCACUGGCCCGGUACUGACGCUGAGGUGCGAAAGCGUGGGGAGCAAACAGG